RNAcentral lists this ribosomal RNA (437 nucleotides) under uncultured Clostridium sp. RNAcentral describes it as "partial 16S ribosomal RNA". It matches the Rfam family "Bacterial small subunit ribosomal RNA", at positions 341 to 792 of the family's 1533-position model. The record is from RNAcentral. Lineage: Bacteria; Bacillati; Bacillota; Clostridia; Eubacteriales; Clostridiaceae.
ACGGGAGGCAGCAGUGUGGGAUAUUGCACAAUGGAGGAAACUCUGAUGCAGCAACGCCGCGUGAGGGAAGAAGGUUUUCGGAUUGUAAACCUCUGUUUUUAGUGAAGAAACAAAUGACGGUAGCUAAAGAGGAAGCCACGGCUAACUACGUGCCAGCAGCCGCGGUAAUACGUAGGUGGCAAGCGUUAUCCGGAUUUACUGGGUGUAAAGGGAGCGCAGGCGGGACAGCAAGUUGGAUGUGAAAUACCGAGGCUUAACCACGGAGCUGCAUCCAAAACUGUUGUCCUUGAGUGAAGUAGAGGUAGGCGGAAUUCCGAGUGUAGCGGUGAAAUGCGUAGAUAUUCGGAGGAACACCAGUGGCGAGGGCGGCCUACUGGGCUUUAACUGACGCUGAGGCUCGAAAGUGUGGGGAGCAAACAGGAUUAGAUACCCUGGUA